This is an RNA transcript of Triticum aestivum (bread wheat), 4618 nucleotides long. RefSeq lists it as uncharacterized. The transcript has 4 exons. Lineage: Eukaryota; Viridiplantae; Streptophyta; Magnoliopsida; Poales; Poaceae. The record is from RefSeq and is a predicted model, not a curated record.
ACGGACGCAACACCCGGUCUUUGCCUGCCCCAAUCCCGACUCCAGGCCGUCGUCCCCAACACACCAUGAGGACAAAGAUGGCGGCGGCGCUGGUCCGGGCCUCCGGGGGGAUCGGACCUCCUACGCCUGCCCGAUCCUCCUACUUCUCCUCGCGCUGCUCCUCGCUGUCCCCGCUCGCGGCCAUCUCCAACGCCUCCUCCCACGCCUACGCCUUCGCGAGCCGUCAGCCGAUGCCCGCCCCGGAUCCCACCUUCUUCGAUGAUGUCGUCGACGCCAUCGUCGACAAGUACGGCUGGGACCCCGACGCCGAGGUCCGGGUUUGGCCGCUCGACGCCGAGGGCGCGCUCGUCAACGCCGUGUAGUGCUACGAGUUCCCCGCCCACGUGGGGCCCCGUGGUCGCGCUGGCGCGGGCCUCCGACGGGGUCGUCGACUGGAGCCUCCUCGACGCCCCCGUGGUGGAGGAGGUGGUUGGGCCCAACGGGGUCGACUUCGUGACCGGCGAUGGUGACCUGGCGUUCGGCUCCGGCAUUAGGGUCCGUGACAUGGUAGGGCCGUUCGAGCUGGUGGUCUGCGAUGGCGCUGGCAGGGGCCGUGCAGAGCUCCAGUUGCCGUCGGUGAGUGUUGUUUGUCUUUUAUCUUUGUUGCUUCAGUUUUUUUGCUUCUGCUUGCUUGCUUGCUAUGCUCUUGAAGUUGUGUGGCCUGUAACAUGAAGUAGUUACUACAAUUGGUGAAUGGUCUAGCUGCUGCUUAUCCCUUUUCUGUUUCUGACUUUGAAUUGAUUGUGUUUGUUGUAGUGUCUGCACCACCGUCCGUUGAUUAGAAUGCAUGUUUCGGCAGUCCAUGCAUCGAUCACUGGCAAAUUAAAAAGGCAUGAACGCACUAAACAGAAAUUCUGUGUAGAUGAUUCUUGUAUAUGGCAGUGGCACACGCGCUGGUUGAUGAAGCCGCUGGGCCGGAAGGCCCUCUCAUUGCCAUGCUAAUGAGUAUCACGACGAACAUGGCCCCCACCUCAAUGCCUCCCUGUCGGCGGUGAGGUCCGGAUCUGUACAACCCGCAAUAUUAGUAAAGAAAAAGAAUAGCUUGAUUGUUCUAUGACUCUGUCGUGGAUAGGUAAUUUGCAUCAGAGGUCUAUAGGAUCUCCGCCAUUAGUUUCCCAUUAGAAAAUUGAGUUACUAAAUUAAGGAAGAUGUCCAAAGAGAGGUAAUCGAUGGCAUGAUAUGCAUCAGAAGAUCCUCAUCACUAAAGUAGUACUCCACCAGUCCACCUACAGUUUUGGAACAUAUAAACACGGCAUCAAAGUGCUACCUGGCACCAAAUGAAGAGUUCAGGUCAGGGUGUUAUACUGCAGCUAAGCAGUAUAGUCUGAAUUUCUAAGUUUGAGGAGGAUUUCAGUGUUUCUAAAGAAAGGGACAAGGAUCAGGGCUAUAAGAUUGUUGAAAGACUCAGAGACAUGUACCAUGAAUCGGUUCCGUAAGCUGCGGCACACAUGGUCUGCCUCCGUGUCGUCCUACCUGCUUCAGGGCCCUCUACUUCUUCCCCCAAGAUUGCCAUUAUGAUUAACAAAUCUGACGAGAGCAAUUUAAUUGGUGACACAUCAUAUUUAUUCUGCAACUGCAUGUGAAUUCUCAUCUUGCGCCUACCUCUUUUGCUUACCAGUGAAGAUGGAGAGCUUUAGGCAAAAAAAGAAAAAAAACUAGCACGUGAUCUAUGUAGAAUAAUUUUGACAGCAACUCCAACUAUGCAAUGGAGUACACUUGAUGCGAUCAAUUCUGGUGUGUGUGUGUGAUGCAAUGACGUAUGAAUAAUGACAGAAAAAUAUGCCUGAGGAGUAUGGGUAUGUAGUAACAUUUCUCUGUUAUUUUCGGAACAACUUGGAAUAUCUUAUUGGUAGUUUAUAUACAAAGUCAUUUUGAUAAUUAUCAUGCUACAAACCUACAUAGUUUUCUAUAUUAAUCAUGUCAUGCUAAAAUAUAAAAGUUAUAGCUUCAAUAAAUUGAUAAAAUACGGAUUUGGGCUUUACAUAUUUAUUGAAUAUAUAUUUACAUAUGAAUACGUGGUUACAGUCGGACUCCAAUGAGCAGCAGUGGUUGUUAUACCCCACCAGGUAACUUGCUACUGUUGGUGAAACUCUCUUGUGCAGAAAUGCCGAUCUUGAAAUCUUGAUCCUACUUAUAGGCCGUAUUGCAAGCAAUGUACUCAUGUUUUACUCAACAUGUAGGUAACAUGAAAUUUUGAUCUUCUCCCAUCACUGAAAGUUGUGUUUUAAACUUGCAAAAGCAUUGCUAAGCCUAUUCAAUCAUUUCUAUUUUACCCUAGAUUUCACUCCAUACCAUAAUUGAGAUACAAAUGGGCGUUACUGAUGUCGAGGAGAAGAGUUAGAAGCUCUUGGAUUGAGAAUCUGAGAUUUAUAUAGGUUCAGUAGAACAAAAAGUUUUGGAUUCACUACUCCAGAUACAACGGGAGACCUCUGAUGUCAUAGUUGGCAUGGACAUUUAGCAAUAAAUUUGUGCCUUCCUGAACAUUAUUACUAUUAAACUAUGAAUAAUGAUUUUUGCAACUGUAGGAGAAUUUCUUUGCCGCAUCACAAGAAAAAAAAUUUGAAACAGAAAAGUGUACUGAACCUUCUAAUUAUUGUAUGAACUUGCUUCACUUAAUUUAAGAAGUACACAUACUGCUAGCAUUUGCAUCACACUGGGCAGCCUAUUAUCGAGAGAUCUGACUUCAUCAGGAUUGCGGGUUCGUGACUUAAUCCUGAUUGGGUAUGCUGGCUGCCCGUAUAGGAUUGACGUGCCCUAUAUGCGGCGACCCGCGGCUACUCCUCCCAGCCCCGGAUAUGCUCUUCCGCCACCUGCGACCCGCAGCUCCAAUGAUCCACGACAAGGGAUGACGACCAACUCGGCUGCCCCUCCCUCGUGCAGCUCCCUCUGAGGCUGCAGCAGCCUUCGCACGAGGCCACUACGGUGCCACCUAUGCUGUCCUAAAGUUCCCUCAGUUUCGACAGUUUCAGUUUCAUCAGUUUCGUCAGAUUUAGUUUCAUCAGAUUCAAAAAAUUCAGUUCAUCAGUUUCAUCAAAGUUUCAGUUGUCAGUUAAUUUGUCGGGCACGUUGGCACUCAUGCACGUCGUCCGCUUCCUCACAUCACUCGCUUACAUAGCCCACCUGCCGAUCCAAACAACGGCUUGGUCAGGGAUCGGACUGGACCAGACGGUGUCCACCAUGACCUGAAGGCGAUGCCCGAGUCCAAGUGCGUGUAAGUUACACCAGCCUUUGAUUUAUAUAUCCACCGUCCACUGAUCAGUGACCUGAAAAGGUUGGGCGCUCUGAGCUAGCACAUAAGUUGAUUGAUGAGAUGGAUUGAAAUGCUUUUGAUUUGUUAGGCCGUCAAUAUUCCAAACUGAAGUCCAAGGAAGAACGAUCCGGAACAACAGGUAAGAAGCCCAUGAGUUAGUUGUCUUACAGGCAUGCACGUGCACAAGGUGCUGAUACAUAGCUGCAGAUUUCCAAUGGAUGCUGGUAUUGUCGGCUGGCAUCUCGUGGGCUAUACAUCAUGAUGGUUACCAAGACACGACAAUGAUCUCAAUGCUACAAACCUGAAUGGAAUACCAUAAUUGCAGACCUGAUCACAAUGCUACAGACUUGAAUGAAAGACCAUGAUUACAGGCCUUUGCUGAUUUGCGUUUUCCAUUGAUCUUCAAUGCACUAAAGAAUAGUGAAAUCUUGGCAUCUGAUUCAUUUUGCAGGCUAUGCUUUUAACUCAAUGAAAAUGUGCAUUGUUAGUUGACCUUAUUGUCUGUUUGUAGCUAAUUGGGAGACAAACAUGGGCAAUGAGCAGCUUUUUUGAUGACAGUGCAAUCAAGGACUCACAUAUUCACUGAUGAAUCUACCUCUAUUUGGUACUGUGUAUAUACCUGAAAAUAGUAGCAUCGACUUUGCAUAUUUAUUUUCUGAAUCAGCAACACUGUAUUAGGGUCUUCAUCGGCAAUGUACAUAGUGAUGCUUAACUGCCGGUUUGAAUUAUUGGAUGCAUCUGUUGUGAGACAUUCAUGUGUUGUCAUAGUGACUUGCCUGCGCUCAUUGUUGAUCGCUAAGAAGUGAGUUGGUCCAGAGAUUGCACCUGAGAUGGAGCUCAGCAGGACAACUAGACAUGCAUAGCUUGGUAUUAGUCAUAUCUAAAAUUUUACAUAUAAGUUUUUUCCUAGAUUCAAGUACAUUAUAUCAUUAUUUUGCAGGUGUGAUCCACAGAGGAGAUCACAUUUCCAGUCCAGUCAUAAAUUAUUAUAAUUAUUUUACUCAUUUUCAUACUAAAUUUGAAACGGGUCAAUCCACAAGCUUCUGAUCCUCGGUUCAUUUGUGAACUAUAUCCAUGUGUUCUAUCAAGGACCAUUUUGGCGCAUAUCGAAAAGACAAGCAAUUUUGUUACCAGAAUUAUCAUAUUUGUAAGGUCAAUCACCCAUGGGUUCUGCACUUCACUAGAAAUAAUUUGUACCCUUGACCUGAUAAGUUGUUGUUGUAUUAUGAAUUAUUCAUAGUAUGAGACCAAAUUUGUUGUUUUAGUUUCAUACAAUUUUUUGUUCUUUGAUAAAUGGAGAUUGUCAUUGUCUUCCAUUUGCAUGCCAGA